Molecule: ribosomal RNA, 253 nt
Filed under: uncultured bacterium
Lineage: Bacteria
Description: partial 16S ribosomal RNA
Rfam family: Bacterial small subunit ribosomal RNA
Source: RNAcentral
UACGGGGGGGGCAAGCGUUGUUCGGAAUUACUGGGCGUAAAGGGCUCGUAGGUGGCCAACUAAGUCAACCGUGAAAUCCCUCGGCUUAACCGGGGAACUGCGUUUGAUACUGGAUGGCUUGAGUUUGGGAGAGGGAUGCGGAAUUCCAGGUGUAGCGGUGAAAUGCGUAGAUAUCUGGAGGAACACCGGUGGCGAAGGCGGCAUCCUGGACCAAUACUGACACUGAGGAGCGAAAGCCAGGGGAGCAAACGGG